GGGCCCGCACAAGCGGUGGAGUAUGUGGUUUAAUUCGAUGCAACGCGAAGAACCUUACCAGGGUUUGACAUCCUGCGAAUCUCUUGGAAACAGGAGAGUGCCUUCGGGAACGCAGUGACAGGUGGUGCAUGGCUGUCGUCAGCUCGUGUCGUGAGAUGUUGGGUUAAGUCCCGCAACGAGCGCAACCCACGUCUUUAGUUGCCAGCAUUAGUUGGGCACUCUGAAAGAACUGCCAGUGAUAAGCUGGAGGAAGGUGGGGAUGACGUCAAGUCCUCAUGGCCCUUACGUGUUGGGCUACACACGUGCUACAAUGGUAUCUACAACAGGAAGCAAAACGGCGACGUUAAGCAAAUCCUUAAAAGAUACUC
This 368-nucleotide ribosomal RNA is filed under the name uncultured bacterium. RNAcentral describes it as "bacterial SSU rRNA". It matches the Rfam family "Bacterial small subunit ribosomal RNA", at positions 917 to 1288 of the family's 1533-position model. The record is from RNAcentral.